Molecule: ribosomal RNA, 203 nt
Filed under: uncultured Bacillota bacterium
Lineage: Bacteria; Bacillati; Bacillota
Description: uncultured Firmicutes bacterium partial 16S ribosomal RNA
Rfam family: Bacterial small subunit ribosomal RNA
Source: RNAcentral
GAUGAACGCUGGCGGCGUGCCUAACACAUGCAAGUCGAACGGAGUAUUUAUUAUGAAGUCUUCGGAUGGAUUAAUAAAUGCUCAGUGGCGGACGGGUGAGUAACGCGUGGGUAACCUGCCUCAUACAGGGGGAUAACAGCUGGAAACGGCUGCUAAAACCGCAUAAGCAUACGCUGUCGCAUGACAGAGUGUGAAAAUAUUUA